UAAUGUGAUUAUAAAUUAUUACAAAGCAAAAAAAAAAGGAAUAAAAGUGAACAAGCCUGAAUGAAUCUCGAAUAAAAGUGAAUGAAAGUUCAUAAAAAUGCAUGAAAGCAAAUAAAAAAACGAUUGGUGUUGGGGUACUUACGGGGCGCGACGGGUAUUGGGAGCCCCAUGGGGCACUUGGGGAACCCCCAUCGGGCUCUUGGGGGUCCCUAUAGGGUGCCGUGCCACUGAUGAUGCUGAUGAUGUCAUCAAGGUCCUGGUGACAUCACACCACCAUAAGUCAAUAAAUGCCAUGAGGCAUAUGCUGUGCAUCUAUAGGGAACUAUGGGGCAGUGGGGAGGGGGUCUAUAGGGUGCUAUGUGGGAGUGCAGGGUGUGUAUAGGGCUCUAUGGGUUGUCAUGGGGCCACAUGUGGGUCUAUAGGGUAUCUAGCAGUUCCUGUGGGUCUCUAUGGGGUGUCUAUGGGUGGCUGUGGCACACUACAGGGGGUCCAGGGCUUGCUAUAGGGUGUCUGUGGGGUAUCUGUAGGUCGCAGUGGAUCAUUAUGAGGAUCUAUGAGUCUCUGUGGGGCAUCUGUGAGUCACUUUGGAGUAGCCCUGGGUUGCGGUGGGGUGUCUAUCGGUCACUUGAGCCAUAGACACCCACAGCAACUGCUAGAUACCCUAUAGACUCACAUAUGGCCACAUGACAACCCCUAUGACUUAUGGUGUUGUGACAUCACCAUGAGUGGGAUGGCAUCAUCGUCAGCAGCAUCGUCAAGCACCAUGGCAUCCCAUAGGGGCCCCACUACCCCUGCCUCCCAUAAGUACCCCUACACCAAUUGGUUUCUUAUUUGCUUUCAUUCAUUUUUAUGAACUUUCAUUCACUUUUAUUCGAGAUUCAUUCAGGCUUGUUCACUUUUACUCUUUUUUAUUUACUUUGUAAUAACUUAUAAUCA
RNAcentral lists this long non-coding RNA (936 nucleotides) under Strigops habroptila (Kakapo). RNAcentral describes it as "lncRNA (ENSSHBG00005018408.1)". Lineage: Eukaryota; Metazoa; Chordata; Aves; Psittaciformes; Psittacidae. The record is from RNAcentral.